CAACUUGAGAGUUUGAUCCUGGCUCAGAAUCAACGCUGGCGGCGUGCCUCAUACAUGCAAGUCGAACGCGAAAGCGACGGGUGAGUAACGCGUGGGUGACCUACCUUCGAGUGGGGGACAACCUUCCGAAAGGGAGGCUAAUACCGCAUGACAUCCCGCCCUUGGACGGGCGGUGAUCAAAGCCGGGGAUCUUCGGACCUGGCGCUUGUUGACGGACCCGCGUCCGAUUAGCUUGUUGGUAGGGUAGCGGCCUACCAAGGCGACGAUCGGUAGCCGGCCUGAGAGGGCGGACGGCCACACUGGGACUGAGAUACGGCCCAGACUUCUACGGGAGGCAGCAGUAGGGAAUUGUUCGCAAUGGGCGAAAGCCUGACGACGCAACGCCGCGUGGAGGACGAAGACCUUCGGGUU
This 411-nucleotide ribosomal RNA is filed under the name Acidobacteriota bacterium. RNAcentral describes it as "bacterial SSU rRNA". It matches the Rfam family "Bacterial small subunit ribosomal RNA", at positions 1 to 424 of the family's 1533-position model. The record is from RNAcentral. Lineage: Bacteria; Pseudomonadati; Acidobacteriota.